ACACGAAAUUCGGCUUUCGCAA
This 22-nucleotide small nuclear RNA is filed under the name Arabidopsis thaliana (thale cress). RNAcentral describes it as "snRNA_04833". Lineage: Eukaryota; Viridiplantae; Streptophyta; Magnoliopsida; Brassicales; Brassicaceae. The record is from RNAcentral.